AUGUGUGUUGCUACACCAACGCAUGCAAAUAAAACAAUUCAAUGGUCACAUGUACGUCUCUGUGUUACAGUGGGUCUAGUCCAGGUGGGUCUAGUCCAGGUGGGUCUAGUCCAGGUGGGUCUAGUCCAGGUGUGUCUCUGUGUUACAGUGUGUCUAGUCCAGGUGUGUCUAGUCCAGGUGUGUCUCUGUGUUACAGUACGUCUAGUCCAGGUGUGUCUCUGUGUUACAGUGUGUCUAGUCCAGGUGGGUCUAGUCCAGGUGUGUCUCUGUGUUACAGUGUGUCUAGUCCAGGUGUGUCUCUGUGUUACAGUGUGUCUAGUCCAGGUGGGUCUAGUCCAGGUGGGUCUAGUCCAGGUGGGUCUAGUCCAAGUGUGUCUCUGUGUUACAGUGUGUCUAGUCCAGGUGUGUCUCUGUGUUACAGUGUGUCUAGUCCAGGUGUGUCUCUGUGUUACAGUGUGUCUAGUCCAGGUGGGUCUAGUCCAGGUGUGUCUCUGUGUUACAGUGUGUCUAGUCCAGGUGGGUCUAGUCCAGGUGUGUCUCUGUGUUACAGUGUGUCUAGUCCAGGUGGGUCUAGUCCAGGUGUGUCUCUGUGUUACAGUGUGUCUAGUCCAGGUGUGUCUAGUCCAGGUGGGUCUAGUCCAGGUGUGUCUCUGUGUUACAGUGUGUCUAGUCCAGGUGGGUCUAGUCCAGGUGUGUCUGUGUUA
Molecule: long non-coding RNA, 704 nt
Filed under: Oncorhynchus kisutch (coho salmon)
Lineage: Eukaryota; Metazoa; Chordata; Actinopteri; Salmoniformes; Salmonidae
Description: lncRNA (ENSOKIG00005045594.1)
Source: RNAcentral